CACGAGGUGGCCGAGUGGUUAAGGCGAUGGACUGCUAAUCCAUUGUGCUCUGCACUCCGUGGGUUCGAAUCCCAUCCUCGUCG
Molecule: non-coding RNA, 83 nt
Organism: Ciona savignyi (Pacific transparent sea squirt)
Lineage: Eukaryota; Metazoa; Chordata; Ascidiacea; Phlebobranchia; Cionidae
Source: Rfam